RNAcentral lists this ribosomal RNA (450 nucleotides) under uncultured bacterium. RNAcentral's name for it is "partial 16S ribosomal RNA". It matches the Rfam family "Bacterial small subunit ribosomal RNA", at positions 338 to 795 of the family's 1533-position model. The record is from RNAcentral.
CCUACGGGUGGCUGCAGUGGGGAAUUUUGGACAAUGGGGGCAACCCUGAUCCAGCCAUGCCGCGUGAGUGAAGAAGGCCUUCGGGUUGUAAAGCUCUUUCGGCCGGGAAGAAAUCGCUUCGGCUAAUACCUGGAGUGGAUGACGGUACCGGAAGAAGAAGCACCGGCUAACUACGUGCCAGCAGCCGCGGUAAUACGUAGGGGGCGAGCGGGAAUCGGAAUGACCGGGGGCGGUUUCGUCGGACGCGGUUGAAAUCCCCGGGCUUAACCUGGGAACUGCGUUUGUGACUGCGAGACUUGAGUGCGGCAGAGGGGGGUGGAAUUCCACGUGUAGCAGUGAAAUGCGUAGAGAUGUGGAGGAACACCGAUGGCGAAGGCAGCCCCCUGGGUCGACACUGACGCUCAUGCACGAAAGCGUGGGGAGCAAACAGGAUUAGAUACCCUAGUAGUC